Molecule: unclassified non-coding RNA, 351 nt
Filed under: Hevea brasiliensis (rubber tree)
Lineage: Eukaryota; Viridiplantae; Streptophyta; Magnoliopsida; Malpighiales; Euphorbiaceae
Source: RNAcentral
AUUUUUAUAAUUUAAUUCGGUUCGUUCGGCUCGAACCGAAUGCUCACCCCUACACAUAGCCAGGGCUUUAAGCAUGCUUGUUAAUUUCAUAUUGUAUUGGUCCCUACUAGCUGGUAAUGAUAUAGCUGUUUCAAAUAUGACCAGUAUGUCCUUCCACAAUUUCAUUUCACAUUUGGUACUGGCUAAUCAUCAGAAUGUUUCUACCGAUUCAUCUCAUUCUGGUCAUUUGCCUAAGAAUUUUGUUUCAUUUGAUACACUACAAUUAUUAGAAAAUCUAACUUACACACUCUACUAGGGGCAAGCUUCACCUCAGAAGAAGGAAGAGUCCAAAGUUGAGUACAGAUGGUUUGU